This 436-nucleotide ribosomal RNA is filed under the name uncultured bacterium. RNAcentral describes it as "bacterial SSU rRNA". It matches the Rfam family "Bacterial small subunit ribosomal RNA", at positions 957 to 1393 of the family's 1533-position model. The record is from RNAcentral.
UAACGCGAAGAACCUUACCUGGGUUUGACAUACACCGGAAGCCCCUAGAGAUAGGGGUCUCUUUGAUACUGGUGUACAGGUGGUGCAUGGCUGUCGUCAGCUCGUGUCGUGAGAUGUUGGGUUAAGUCCCGCAACGAGCGCAACCCUCGUUCCAUGUUGCCAGCGGAUUAUGCCGGGGACUCAUGGGAGACUGCCGGGGUCAACUCGGAGGAAGGUGGGGAUGACGUCAAGUCAUCAUGCCCCUUAUGUCCAGGGCUUCACGCAUGCUACAAUGGCCGGUACAAAGGGCUGCGAUCCCGUGAGGGGGAGCGAAUCCCAAAAAGCCGGUCUCAGUUCGGAUUGGGGUCUGCAACUCGACCCCAUGAAGUCGGAGUCGCUAGUAAUCGCAGAUCAGCAACGCUGCGGUGAAUACGUUCCCGGGUCUUGUACACACCGA